RNAcentral lists this small nuclear RNA (197 nucleotides) under Phaseolus vulgaris (common bean). Its description in RNAcentral is "snRNA U2". It matches the Rfam family "U2 spliceosomal RNA". Rfam says of the family: U2 is a small nuclear RNA (snRNA) component of the spliceosome (involved in pre-mRNA splicing). Complementary binding between U2 snRNA (in an area lying towards the 5' end but 3' to hairpin I) and the branchpoint sequence (BPS) of the intron results the bulging out of an unpaired adenosine, on the BPS, which initiates a nucleophilic attack at the intronic 5' splice site, thus starting the first of two transesterification reactions that mediate splicing. Lineage: Eukaryota; Viridiplantae; Streptophyta; Magnoliopsida; Fabales; Fabaceae. The record is from Rfam by way of RNAcentral.
AUACCUUUCUCGGCCUUUUGGCUAAGAUCAAGUGUAGUAUCUGUUCUUAUCAGUUUAAUAUCUGAUAUGUGAACCAUUGGUUCACACGAUAUUAAAUUUAUUUUUCAAGGGAGAAGGCCAACUGCAGUAGCUUGCUACUGAGGCUUUUGAAGCAUUGUCUUUGCUUUGCACUACAGCAAAAGACUAGUGCAUCCCAC